CCGGGUUUGGCGGAAUUGGCAGACGCACCAGACUUAGGAUCUGGCGAGGCAACUCGUGGGGGUUCAAGUCCCUUAACCCGGACCA
RNAcentral lists this transfer RNA (85 nucleotides) under Spiroplasma mirum. Its description in RNAcentral is "tRNA-Leu". It matches the Rfam family "tRNA". From Rfam's summary of the family: Transfer RNA (tRNA) molecules are approximately 80 nucleotides in length. Their secondary structure includes four short double-helical elements and three loops (D, anti-codon, and T loops). Further hydrogen bonds mediate the characteristic L-shaped molecular structure. tRNAs have two regions of fundamental functional importance: the anti-codon, which is responsible for specific mRNA codon recognition, and the 3' end, to which the tRNAs corresponding amino acid is attached (by aminoacyl-tRNA synthetases). tRNAs cope with the degeneracy of the genetic code in two manners: having more than one tRNA (with a specific anti-codon) for a particular amino acid; and 'wobble' base-pairing, i.e. permitting non-standard base-pairing at the 3rd anti-codon position. Lineage: Bacteria; Bacillati; Mycoplasmatota; Mollicutes; Entomoplasmatales; Spiroplasmataceae. RNAcentral also lists the same sequence under 3 other names. The record is from RNAcentral.